Molecule: long non-coding RNA, 1806 nt
Filed under: Oncorhynchus kisutch (coho salmon)
Lineage: Eukaryota; Metazoa; Chordata; Actinopteri; Salmoniformes; Salmonidae
Description: lncRNA (ENSOKIG00005031557.1)
Source: RNAcentral
AUGUUUCUUUCAGUAUUCAAUCCAACACCAAUAUGUUUCUUUCAGUAUUCAAUCCAACACCAAUAUGUUUCUUUCAGUAUUCAAUCCAACACCAAUAUGUUUCUUUCAGUAUUCAAUCCAACACCAAUAUGUUUCUUUCAGUAUUCAAUCCAACACCAAUAUGUUUCUUUCAGUAUUCAAUCCAACACCAAUAUGUUUCCUUCAGUAUUCAAUCCAACACCAAUAUGUUUCCUUCAGUAUUCAAUCCAACACCAAUAUGUUUCCUUCAGUAUUCAAUCCAACACCAAUAUGUUUCUUUCAGUAUUCAAUCCAACACCAAUAUGUUUCCUUCAGUAUUCAAUCCAACACCAAUAUGUUUCUUUCAGUAUUCAAUCCAACACCAAUAUGUUUCCUUCAGUAUUCAAUCCAACACCAAUAUGUUUCCUUCGGUAUUCAAUCCAAAACCAAUAUGUUUCCUUCAGUAUUCAAUCCAACACCAAUAUGUUUCCUUCAGUAUUCAAUCCAACACCAAUAUGUUUCUUUCAGUAUUCAAUCCAACACCAAUAUGUUUCUUUCAGUAUUCAAUCCAACACCAAUAUGUUUCCUUCAGUAUUCAAUCCAACACCAAUAUGUUUCCUUCAGUAUUCAAUCCAACACCAAUAUGUUUCUUUCAGUAUUCAAUCCAACACCAAUAUGUUUCCUUCAGUAUUCAAUCCAACACCAAUAUGUUUCUUUCAGUAUUCAAUCCAACACCAAUAUGUUUCCUUCAGUAUUCAAUCCAACACCAAUAUGUUUCCUUCAGUAUUCAAUCCAACACCAAUAUGUUUCUUUCAGUAUUCAAUCCAACACCAAUAUGUUUCCUUCAGUAUUCAAUCCAACACCAAUAUGUUUCCUUCGGUAUUCAAUCCAAAACCAAUAUGUUUCCUUCAGUAUUCAAUCCAACACCAAUAUGUUUCCUUCAGUAUUCAAUCCAACACCAAUAUGUUUCUUUCAGUAUUCAAUCCAACACCAAUAUGUUUCCUUCAGUAUUCAAUCCAACACCAAUAUGUUUCCUUCAGUAUUCAAUCCAACACCAAUAUGUUUCCUUCAGUAUUCAAUCCAACACCAAUAUGUUUCCUUCAGUAUUCAAUCCAACACCAAUAUGUUUCUUUCAGUAUUCAAUCCAACACCAAUAUGUUUAUUUCAGUAUUCAAUCCAACACCAAUAUGUUUCCUUCAGUAUUCAAUCCAACACCAAUAUGUUUCCUUCAGUAUUCAAUCCAACACCAAUAUGUUUCCUUCAGUAUUCAAUCCAACACCAAUAUGUUUCUUUCAGUAUUCAAUCCAACACCAAUAUGUUUCUUUCAGUAUUCAAUCCAACACCAAUAUGUUUCCUUCAGUAUUCAAUCCAACACCAAUAUGUUUCUUUCAGUAUUCAAUCCAACACCAAUAUGUUUCCUUCAGUAUUCAAUCCAACACCAAUAUGUUUCUUUCAGUAUUCAAUCCAACACCAAUAUGUUUCCUUCAGUAUUCAAUCCAACACCAAUAUGUUUCCUUCAGUAUUAAAUCCAACACCGAUAUGUUUCCUUCAGUAUUCAAUCCAACACCAAUAUGUUUCCUUCAGUAUUCAAUCCAACACCAAUAUGUUUCCUUCAGUAUUCAAUCCAACACCAAUAUGUUUCCUUCAGUAUUCAAUCCAACACCAAUAUGUUUCCUUCAGUAUUCAAUCCAACACCAAUAUGUUUCCUUCAGUAUUCAAUCCAACACCAAUAUGUUUCUUUCAGUAUUCAAUCCAACACCAAUAUGUUUCUUUCAGUAUUCAAUCCAACACCAAUCAACCGAUAUGUGA